This 507-nucleotide ribosomal RNA is filed under the name uncultured bacterium. RNAcentral describes it as "bacterial SSU rRNA". It matches the Rfam family "Bacterial small subunit ribosomal RNA", at positions 29 to 518 of the family's 1533-position model. The record is from RNAcentral.
AGUGAAUGCUGGCGGCAUGCUUAACACAUGCAAGUCGAACGAGGUUUGUCUGCGAUUACAUCAAGGGCAAACCGAGUGGCAGACGGGUGAGUAAUACGUGGACAAUCUGCCUUCGAGUGGGGGAUAACUCCGGGAAACCGGAGCUAAUACCGCGUAAGACCACGUCCCGGCAUCGGGAUGAGGUAAAAGCUCCGCAAGGGGCGCUUGAAGAGGAGUCCACGGCCUAUCAGCUAGUUGGCGGUGUAAAAGACCACCAAGGCGACGACGGGUAAGCGGUCUGAAAGGACGACCGCUCACAAUGGCACUGAGACACGGGCCAUACUCCUACGGGAGGCAGCAGUGGGGAAUUUUGCGCAAUGGGGGAAACCCUGACGCAGCAAUGCCGCGUGGAGGACGAAGGUCUUCGGAUUGUAAACUCCUUUUGGAGGCGAAAAAUACCUGCGUGAAUAACGCAGGCUGAUGGUAUCCUCCGAAUAAGCCACGGCUAACUUCGUGCCAGCAGCCGAC